This 497-nucleotide ribosomal RNA is filed under the name uncultured bacterium. RNAcentral describes it as "partial 16S ribosomal RNA". It matches the Rfam family "Bacterial small subunit ribosomal RNA", at positions 28 to 507 of the family's 1533-position model. The record is from RNAcentral.
GAUGAACGCUGGCGGCGUGCCUAAUACAUGCAAGUCGAGCGAACAGACGAGGAGCUUGCUCCUCUGACGUUAGCGGCGGACGGGUGAGUAACACGUGGAUAACCUACCUAUAAGACAGGGAUAACUUCGGGAAACCGGAGCUAAUACCGGAUAAUAUAUUGAACCGCAUGGUUCAAUAGUGAAAGACGGUUUUGCUGUCACUUAUAGAUGGAUCCGCGCCGCAUUAGCUAGUUGGUAAGGUAACGGCUUACCAAGGCAACGAUGCGUAGCCGACCUGAGAGGGGGAUCGGCCACACUGGAACUGAGACACGGCCCAGACCCCUACGGGAGGCAGCAGUAGGGAAUCUUCCGCAAUGGGCGAAAGCCUGACGGAGCAACGCCGCGUGAGUGAUGAAGGUCUUCGGAUCGUAAAACUCUGUUAUUAGGGAAGAACAAAUGUGUAAGUAACUAUGCACGUCUUGACGGUACCUAAUCAGAAAGCCACGGCUAACUACGUG